GGAGAAAUAGCUCAGUGGUAGAGUGUGUGCUUAGCAUGCACGAGGUACUAGGUUCAAUCUCCAGUAUCUCUA
Molecule: transfer RNA, 72 nt
Filed under: Camelus bactrianus (Bactrian camel)
Lineage: Eukaryota; Metazoa; Chordata; Mammalia; Artiodactyla; Camelidae
Also listed under: 2 other names
Rfam family: tRNA
About the family: Transfer RNA (tRNA) molecules are approximately 80 nucleotides in length. Their secondary structure includes four short double-helical elements and three loops (D, anti-codon, and T loops). Further hydrogen bonds mediate the characteristic L-shaped molecular structure. tRNAs have two regions of fundamental functional importance: the anti-codon, which is responsible for specific mRNA codon recognition, and the 3' end, to which the tRNAs corresponding amino acid is attached (by aminoacyl-tRNA synthetases). tRNAs cope with the degeneracy of the genetic code in two manners: having more than one tRNA (with a specific anti-codon) for a particular amino acid; and 'wobble' base-pairing, i.e. permitting non-standard base-pairing at the 3rd anti-codon position.
Source: Rfam by way of RNAcentral